Molecule: ribosomal RNA, 511 nt
Filed under: uncultured bacterium
Lineage: Bacteria
Description: partial 16S ribosomal RNA
Rfam family: Bacterial small subunit ribosomal RNA
Source: RNAcentral
GACGAACGCUGGCGGCGUGCCUAAUACAUGCAAGUCGAGCGAGCGGAACUAACAGAUUUACUUCGGUAAUGACGUUAGGAAAGCGAGCGGCGGAUGGGUGAGUAACACGUGGGGAACCUGCCCCAUAGUCUGGGAUACCACUUGGAAACAGGUGCUAAUACCGGAUAAGAAAGCAGAUCGCAUGAUCAGCUUUUAAAAGGCGGCGUAAGCUGUCGCUAUGGGAUGGCCCCGCGGUGCAUUAGCUAGUUGGUAAGGUAAAGGCUUACCAAGGCGAUGAUGCAUAGCCGGGUCGGGGGGCUGACGGGCCACAUUGGGGUGGGGACCCGGCCCAAACCCCUAGGGGGGGCAGGGGUAGGAAAUUUUCCACAAGGGCCGCAAGUCUAAUGGGGCAACGCCGGGGAGGGGAAAAAGGUUUUCGGAUCGUAAAGCUUUUUUGUUGGUGAAGAAGGAAGGGGGUGGUAACUGGCCUUUAUUGGACGGAAAUAAACCAGAAAGUCACGGCUAACUAGGG